CCUACGGGUGGCAGCAGUGAGGAAUAUUGGUCAAUGGACGAGAGUCUGAACCAGCCAAGUAGCGUGAAGGAUGACUGUCCUAUGUGUUGUAAACUUCUUUUAUCAAGGAAUAAAACCAGGCACGUGUGCCUGUUUGCAGGUACUUUAUGAAUAAGCAUCGGCUAACUCCGUGCCAGCAGCCGCGGUAAUACGGAGGAUGCGAGCGUUAUCCGGAUUUAUUGGGUUUAAAGGGUGCGUAGGCGGCCUUUUAAGUCGGCGGUAAAAUCUCGGGGCUCAACCCCGGCGAGCCGUUGAAACUGGGUGGCUUGAGGGGGCGAGAGGUAUGCGGAAUGCGUGGUGUAGCGGUGAAAUGCAUAGAUAUCACGCAGAACCCCGAGUGCGAAGGCAGCAUACCGGCGGCCUACUGACGCUGAGGCACGAAAGCGUGGGUAUCGAACAGGAUUAGAUACCCGGGUAGUC
RNAcentral lists this ribosomal RNA (459 nucleotides) under uncultured bacterium. Its description in RNAcentral is "partial 16S ribosomal RNA". It matches the Rfam family "Bacterial small subunit ribosomal RNA", at positions 338 to 795 of the family's 1533-position model. The record is from RNAcentral.